AGCUUGUUGGUAGGGUAAUGGCCUACCAAGGCUACGAUGGUUAGCUGGUCUGAGAGGAUGAUCAGCCACACUGGAACUGAAACACGGUCCAGACUCCUACGGGAGGCAGCAGUGAGGAAUUUUGCGCAAUGGGGGAAACCCUGACGCAGCAACGCCGCGUGAGUGAAGAAGGCUUUCGGGUCGUAAAGCUCUGUCAAGUGGGAAAAAAAUCUCAUGAUAAAUAGUCAUGAGACUUGAUGGUACCACUGAAGGAAGCACCGGCUAACUCCGUGCCAGCAGCCGCGGUAAUACGGAGGGUGCAAGCGUUGAUCGGAAUUAUUGGGCGUAAAGAGCGUGUAGGCGGUAUGGUAAGUCAGAUGUGAAAGCCCUGGGCUCAACCCAGGAAGUGCAUUUGAUACUGCCAUUCUUGAGUAUGGGAGAGGAGAGUGGAAUUCCUAGUGUAGAGGUGAAAUUCGUAGAUAUUAGGAGGAACACCCGUGGCGAAGGCGGCUCUCUGGACCAAUACUGACGCUGAGACGCGAAAGCGUGGGGAGCAAACAGGAUUAGAUACCCUGGUAGUCCACGCCGUAAACGAUGAGAACUAGGUGUAGCGGGUAUUGACCCCUGCUGUGCCGAAGUUAACGCAUUAAGUUCUCCGCCUGGGGAGUACGGCCGCAAGGCUAAAACUCAAAGGAAUUGACGGGGACCCGCACAAGCGGUGGAGCAUGUGGUUUAAUUCGACGCAACGCGAAGAACCUUACCUGGAUUUGACAUCCUCUGACAACCCUAGAAAUAGGGCCUUUCGACUUGUCGGAACAGAGUGACAGGUGCUGCAUGGCUGUCGUCAGCUCGUGUCGUGAGAUGUUGGGUUAAGUCCCGCAACGAGCGCAACCCUUGUUUUUAGUUGCCAGUAUUAAGUUAGGCACUCUAAAGAUACUGCCUCGGUUAACGGGGAGGAAGGUGGGGAUGACGUCAAGUCCUCAUGGCCUUUAUAUCCAGGGCUACACACGUGCUACAAUGGACUGUACAAAGGGUCGCGACACCGCGAGGUGAAGCUAAUCUCAAAAAACAGUUCUCAGUUCGGAUUGGAGUCUGCAACUCGACUCCAUGAAGGUGGAAUCGCUAGUAAUCGUGGAUCAGCAUGCCACGGUGAAUACGUUCCCGGGUCUUGUACACACCGCCCGUCACACCACGAAAGUCGGCUGUACCAGAAGUUGCUGGGCUAACCCUUCGGGGAGGCAGGUACCUAAGGUACGGUCGGUAAUUGGGGUGAAGUCGUAACAAGGUAGCCGUAGGGGAACCUGUGGCUG
Molecule: ribosomal RNA, 1289 nt
Filed under: metagenome
Description: bacterial SSU rRNA
Rfam family: Bacterial small subunit ribosomal RNA
Source: RNAcentral